UACGUAGGGUGCAAGCGUUAAUCGGAAUUACUGGGCGUAAAGCGUGCGCAGGCGGUUUUGUAAGACCGAUGUGAAAUCCCCGGGCUCAACCUGGGAACUGCAUUGGUGACUGCAAGGCUUGAGCGUGUCAGAGGGAGGUGGAAUUCCGCGUGUAGCAGUGAAAUGCGUAGAUAUGCGGAGGAACACCGAUGGCGAAGGCAGCCUCCUGGGAUAACACUGACGCUCAUGCACGAAAGCGUGGGGAGCAAACAGG
Molecule: ribosomal RNA, 253 nt
Filed under: uncultured bacterium
Lineage: Bacteria
Description: partial 16S ribosomal RNA
Rfam family: Bacterial small subunit ribosomal RNA
Source: RNAcentral